This 1660-nucleotide long non-coding RNA is filed under the name Brassica napus (rape). RNAcentral describes it as "long non-coding RNA (BNAP_LNC019669)". The record is from RNAcentral. Lineage: Eukaryota; Viridiplantae; Streptophyta; Magnoliopsida; Brassicales; Brassicaceae.
CCCAUACAAAGUUACACAGGUGACACAGCCCAACAAAAACCGGUUUUACAUAAAACCCGGUUACUAACUGUUUCUGGUUAUGGUUUUUUUCUUUGGCUAAAAUUUAGGAUUCUGAUUUAUUUGCAAACGAUCAUGUAUGAUUAUAAGUUAAAAGUUAAUUACUUUCUGCUAAAUAAUUUUUCAGGUUAACUAUAAUUUUCCCUUGAUUUCACACUAAUAUUACAAUAUAUUUUUAUAUAUAUUAACUUUAUUUAUCUACCCGGAAACCAGGUAUUCAAACGUUGAUUAUAAACAAAUUCGAACAAAAUAAUCUCAUUCUAACUUACCAUCCUACCUUCGCUCAAUUAUGACUAUACCGGCGCGUUCUGCUAAGUAGUUUCAUUAUCCUUUGAUUGUCAAUUGCCGUUCUCAAUCGUUGAUGGUAGUACACAUUUGAGGGUGGUAUUCACCUUGUUUCUUCGGCUGCCAGUACAUCUCAUAUCGUCAACAGAGUAGCUCGUUCUUGACAAUUACAUUACGCUCGUAAUCUUUGUUGACAUGAAACCCUUAGCUGGUUAGACAAGACCCGAGAGAUUCAUACCUGAAGACAGGACGACGCCAAGGCGCGUUCUCCCAACAACAGACAAAGACCGGAUUGAGCUCUUGCCACUUUGCUUGUGGAGGGAAACCUGCAAAUACGAAAAAAGAGAUGUCUUAUCGAAUCUUGUAAAAACAAGAUCUCGAUAUUGGGAUGUAAAGCCUCCAAAUGCGCCGCCACAUACAGGAACGAAAACGCCCCCGACUCACAAAACACACCAACAAGUCCACACAUUCCACCUCUUAGAACAAGAGGAAAGUUCGACCUCUCAGAACCAAAGCCAACCGGUGACAGACAGGGGCUCACAAACAUGAAGAACACAACCCCGACAAUUCUACACCAAGAAUAUGCACUUAUGGCGAGAAAGAACAACGAACCAAAACCGGGACAGAAGAGCGAAGACCGGAGAAGAGGAACCAGAUAAUGACGCUAAAGCAUAGACAACUCCACGCGCCGUCACACCAGAGCACUCCACACGCGCCACUGAGAGGCUUCUAACGACACCGCCAGAAGAAGCGAAGCCAGCGAGUGCCUUGACGGAGACCACCGCUGAAGUCCAACCUGAGCACAGUAGCAGACUCCUCCUACACCGAGACACAAAAAGCGGAGGAUGAUGAGCCGACACUUCAGCUCCACACCGAGGAAGAUCUGAGAAGAUCUGAACCGGGUGAGCCCUUCUGAAGACUCACGCGCCACCAGAGCUCCGAUAGAAUCCAAAUCGAGCAAAAGUGUAAUCGUCGAUCUAUAUUUUACUACCGAAAAAGCCAAACUCACCACUGCCUAAGCUCUUUAGCCUCACCGCCACUCCGGUGGAGCCUACCUCCUAGCAAAUACGUAUGCGGCGACCCAGAUCUAAGAAACUGACCAAGAGCAAACUUACUAGAAUCUUGAUAUAUCAGAGAAGGAGUUAAAGGAGUGGAAGAAGCAAAGAUAAAAACGAGAGAGGGGGAAGAGAAUCCGCCGGCCACGACAAGGUGCCACUAUCGGAGGAAGGAGUAAACGCCGGUGAAUUGUCUUUUGGAAGAGAUUUAAGAGAGAGAAAAAUAAUAUUGUGUAAAUAGAUAUAUUUUUAUUAUAUUAUAU